CUUAUUCCCGGGGAAUAACAGCAUAGACCACAACACAGAAAAAAGUUUUUGUUUUGCUGAGGACUAACAAGGCAUGGGGAAAAGAAAGAAGCGCCAUGGCACUAGCCCAGGAUCUCUCCCACCAGUGAAGACUGCAAAACAACCAAGAAUUGAGGAGCACUUUGCUGGCAAGAGAUCUGUAAGUAAAACUAACCCCCCCUCCAUUUCCAACAAUCCUGAGAAGUUAGAACGGGACCUGCAAAGAGAUCUGACAAAAUAGCAGAUAUUAGACUUUCCUGAUCUAGUGGGGGAGGAGCAAAAUGACUGUCAGAUUUUUUCACAAACAACUAAGCCAGUUACAGCUGAUAUGGAGACUGUGAUAAAGACUAAAAAGAUUAAUAAUAAUCUAACUCAAGGUGAGGAGAGCUUAUACAACAGAGUUUAUGGCAAAACAAUGCCUUCUCACAGCACAAAUGGUUGUCUCAAUAUUUGAACAAUUAAUAACCAUCCAACACGAUGUAGAGACAUUAAAAAAAGAUAUCGCUGUCUUUCUGCAAGCACAGCAUCGGGCUACAGACCCCACCACCAACGUGCUUACAGCAGACCUGGGUAAAUCCCAUACUCAGGAUAUGGAAGAAGAAAAAGAGCAAAGACCCAGGGAAACAGUUAAAAAAACCUGUUAAAAAGUGGCAGCCCUCUCAGAAAAACAGCCCUUCUCCAGACAAGGCAACAAGAGGAAGAGGUAUCGAUAGAGAAGUUUCAUUGGAAGUCAGGAAAGCAUCUCCCC
Molecule: non-coding RNA, 766 nt
Organism: Notechis scutatus (mainland tiger snake)
Lineage: Eukaryota; Metazoa; Chordata; Lepidosauria; Squamata; Elapidae
Source: RefSeq, a predicted model, not a curated record